GCCAUCUCUGAAGAAUCUGCCCCACAACCAAGUUUGAGUGCCAGAUCCCCGGUCUGUAAGAACAGUGCCAGAUAUUCUACCUCAAAAUUUUGCGAGGUAGAUGGAUGCACAGCUGAAACUGGCAUGGAAAAGAUGUCUCUGCUCACUCCAUUUGGAGGCCCACCUCAACAGGCUAAGAUGAACACUUGCCCAUGCUACUACAAGUACAGCGUGAGCCCACUGCCUGCCAUGGACCACUUGAUCCUAGCUGACCUAGCUGGCCUGGAUUCUCUCACUUCACCUGUUUAUGUGAUGGCAGCAUAUUUUGAUUCUACACAUGAAAAUCCUGUGAGACCAUCCAGCAAGCUUUAUCAUUGUGCUCUACAGAUGACAAGUCAUGAUGGGGUGUGGACUUCAACUUCCAGUGAGCAGUGUCCCAUUAGACUGGUUGAGGGCCAGUCUCAAAAUGUGCUGCAGGUAAUGGCCCCAACACCCCCACAAGGAAAGAUUCCCAAUCCGUGGCCUGGUGGAUGCUCUCAAAAUCCAGUGCUAUGGGGUGAUGGGACAGACGGGAACUACCGUCCCAGCGAGCCCUGGAUCUUAGGCCAAGUGCCAUGUGAUCAGCGCUUUCCCCAUCCCUCAGGAAAUAAAAACAGUUCCUCUACAUCUGGGGGCAGACCUCAGCGCCCGCCUUUGCCAAGGACUCGCUUUCCUAAAACCAUAAGAAGGGGAUUCAAUAAACUUAGGUCGACGUUAAAGUCCCCAUGGAAGCCGCGGCCGAGUCCUGUACCAAGUCCUGAAGAAGUUAACCCUGCAGGAAGUCCUGAAGAAAACAUCUAUGAAACUGCUAACAGUGAACCAGUCUAUAUCCAGCCAAUCUCUACGAGGUCCUUAAUGAUGUUGGACUCUGGCUCGACUGACAGUCCAGAAAAUCUAGGCCCACCUACAAGACCUUUGCCUAAACUCCCGAACCAACACCCCAUGAACCCUGAGAUACGUCUUCCUAUUAUUCCACCAUCCAAAUGUCAUAAAGGUUUUGUGGAGUGGGGCGAGGAGUAACAGUGAAGGUGCUAACGCAGAACAUAACUUUUUCUUUAAACACGCCUGGAAGGAGAAGCGUGACAGACCAGACAAUCCCAUCACCCAACCAGGUCUCGGACACUCUUUUACAACCCUAGGAGAGCCAGAUAAAAAUUUUGUGUUAAGCAAGAAGAAAAACUCACUUAGGGUUGGUCAGAUCUACUUGAUCUCCUGACCAAACCCCCAGUGAGUGCUGGUAAAGAAGAGCUCACAUGAGAUAGCUUACAACCUACGCGGCCACUCAACAGACUCUUCCCAUGCCAGCGCCCGGACUUGAACCGAGAACCUGCAGGCUUGGUGGCCGCUGCUCUAACAAUUGAGCUACGCUGGCAAUUAUCUAAAAAGGGGAAAACUUUCACUGAACAUUCUGAGUGGCACGAGAAUUAUUUGCAUGUGUGUGAGCAGCCACUGUUCCAUGGGUGCAUAUUUGGGCGGUAGGGGCUGAUAGAGGGUAGUCUUUGGUAUGCUUGAUGUGGCUGCCACGCCCACUGUGGAAGGUGGCACUCAGUAGGUGACAGCAUCCACUUAAUGGACUGAAGCCCGUCAUGACACAACCGUUCAUCUAGAGGCGCAGCUGUAGAUGGUAAGAACUCCCUCACGCUUUCUGCAGUAAAAGAACUUUGUUCACCA
This 1689-nucleotide transfer RNA is filed under the name synthetic construct. RNAcentral's name for it is "M3c-M2". The record is from RNAcentral.